GACGAACGCUGGCGGCACGCUUAACACAUGCAAGUCGAACGAGAGAAGAGAAGCUUGCUUUUCUGAUCUAGUGGCGGACGGGUGAGUAACACAUGAGCAAUCUGCCUUUCAGAGGGGGAUACCGAUUGGAAACGAUCGUUAAUACCGCAUAACAUAAUUGAACCGCAUGAUUUGAUUAUCAAAGAUUUAUCGCUGAAAGAUGAGCUCGCGUCUGAUUAGCUAGUUGGUAAGGUAACGGCUUACCAAGGCGACGAUCAGUAGCCGGACUGAGGGGUUGAUCGGCCACAUUGGGACUGAGACACGGCCCAGACUCCUACGGGAGGCAGCAGUGGGGAAUAUUGCACAAUGGAGGAAACUCUGAUGCAGCGAUGCCGCGUGAGGGAAGAAGGUUUUAGGAUUGUAAACCUCUGUCUUCAGGGACGAAAAAAGACGGUACCUGAGGAGGAAGCUCCGGCUAACUACGUGCCAGCAGCCGCGGUAAUACGUAGGGAGCGAGCGUUGUCCGGAAUUACUGGGUGUAAAGGGAGCGUAGGCGGGAUCGCAAGUCAGAUGUGAAAACUAUGGGCUUAACCCAUAAACUGCAUUUGAAACUGUGGUUCUUGAGUGAAGUAGAGGUAAGCGGAAUUCCUAGUGUAGCGGUGAAAUGCGUAGAUAUUAGGAGGAACAUCAGUGGCGAAGGCGGCUUACUGGGCUUUAACUGACGCUGAGGCUCGAAAGCGUGGGGAGCAAACAGGAUUAGAUACCCUGGUAGUCCACGCCGUAAACGA
Molecule: ribosomal RNA, 767 nt
Filed under: uncultured bacterium
Lineage: Bacteria
Description: bacterial SSU rRNA
Rfam family: Bacterial small subunit ribosomal RNA
Source: RNAcentral